This 839-nucleotide ribosomal RNA is filed under the name Knufia peltigerae. RNAcentral's name for it is "SSU rRNA". It matches the Rfam family "Eukaryotic small subunit ribosomal RNA", at positions 250 to 1093 of the family's 1831-position model. Lineage: Eukaryota; Fungi; Ascomycota; Eurotiomycetes; Chaetothyriales; Trichomeriaceae. The record is from RNAcentral.
UUCAUAAUAACUAAACGAAUCGCAUGGCCUUGCGCCGGCGAUGGUUCAUUCAAAUUUCUGCCCUAUCAACUUUCGAUGGUAGGAUAGUGGCCUACCAUGGUCUCAACGGGUAACGGGGAAUUAGGGUUCUAUUCCGGAGAGGGAGCCUGAGAAACGGCUACCACAUCCAAGGAAGGCAGCAGGCGCGCAAAUUACCCAAUCCCAAUUCGGGGAGGUAGUGACAAUAAAUACUGAUACAGGGCUCUUUUGGGUCUUGUAAUUGGAAUGAGUACAAUCUAAAUCCCUUAACGAGGAACAAUUGGAGGGCAAGUCUGGUGCCAGCAGCCGCGGUAAUUCCAGCUCCAAUAGCGUAUAUUAAAGUUGUUGCCGUUAAAAAGCUCGUAGUUGAACCUUGGGCCUGGCUGAUCUGUCCUCCUAAUCGAGCGCACGGAUUCGGUCGGGCCUUUCCUUCUGGGGAGCCCGAUGUCCUUCACUGGGCGUCGUGGGGAACCAGGACUUUUACCUUGAAAAAAUUAGAGUGUUCAAAGCAGGCCUUUGCUCGAAUACAUUAGCAUGGAAUAAUAGAAUAGGACAGAGGUUCUAUUUUGUUGGUUUCUAGGACCGCUGUAAUGAUUAAUAGGGAUAGUCGGGGGCGUCCGUAUUCAAUUGUCAGAGGUGAAAUUCUUGGAUUUAUUGAAGACGAACUACUGCGAAAGCAUUCGCCAAGGAUGUUUUCAUUAAUCAGUGAACGAAAGUUAGGGGGAUCGAAGACGAUCAGAUACCGUCGUAGUCUUAACCAUAAACUAUGCCGACUAGGGAUCGGACGGUGGUUUUUUUAUGCCCCGUUCGGCACCUUACGA